Molecule: ribosomal RNA, 568 nt
Filed under: uncultured bacterium
Lineage: Bacteria
Description: bacterial SSU rRNA
Rfam family: Bacterial small subunit ribosomal RNA
Source: RNAcentral
CCUACGGGAGGCAGCAGUUGGGAAUUUUGCACAAUGGACGAAAGUCUGAUGCAGCAACGCCGCGUGCGGGAUGAAGAUUUUCGGAUUGUAAACCGCUUUUAUUUGGGAGUAACUGUUUGAACGUACCAAAUGAAUAAGCACCGGCUAACUCCGUGCCAGCAGCCGCGGUAAUACGGAGGGUGCAAACGUUGUCCGGAAUUACUGGGCGUAAAGCGCAUGUAGGUGGUCUAAUAAGUGAACGAUUAAAUACCGACGCUUAACGUCGGAAAGGUUAUUCAUACUGUUAGACUCGAGGAAGACAGGGGCAGAUGGAACUUUAAGUGUAGGAGUGAUAUCCGUAGAUAUUUAAAGGAACACCAAUGGCGAAGGCAGUCUGCUGGGUCUUUUCUGACACUGAGAUGCGAAAGUGUGGGGAGCAAACGGGAUUAGAUACCCCGGUAGUCCACACUGUAAACGAUGCUCACUAGGUCUUGGAGGGUAUCGACCCCCUUUUGGACCCGUAAGCUAACGCGUUAAGUGAGCCGCCUGGGGAGUACGAACGCAAGUUUAAACUCAAAUGAAUUGACGG